Molecule: ribosomal RNA, 497 nt
Filed under: uncultured bacterium
Lineage: Bacteria
Description: partial 16S ribosomal RNA
Rfam family: Bacterial small subunit ribosomal RNA
Source: RNAcentral
GAUGAACGCUGGCGGCGUGCCUAAUACAUGCAAGUCGAGCGGACGGACGAUAAGCGUGCUUCUCUGGUGUUAGCGGCGGACGGGUGAGUAACACGUGGAUAACCUACCUAUAAGACUGGGAUAACUUCGGGAAACCGGAGCUAAUACCGGAUAAUAUUUUGAACCUCAUGGUUCAAAAGUUUUAGACGGUCCUGCUGUUCCUGAUAGAUGUAUCCGCGCUGCAUUAGCUAGUUCGUAGGCUAACGGCUUACCAGGGCAACGAUGCAUAGCCGACCUGAGAGGGUGAUCGGCCGCACUGGAGCUGAGACACCGACCAGAGUCCUAAGGGAGGCAGCAGUAGGGAAUCGUGGGCAAUGGGGGAAAGCAUGACGGAGCGGCGCAACGUGAGUGAUGAAGGUCUUCGGAGCGUAAAACUGUCUUAUUAGGGAAAAACAUAUGUGUAAGUAACUGAGCACAUCUUGACGGUACCUAAACAGGAAGCACCGGCUAACUACGUG